AAUGAGUUGGGGCCGGGAUAGGGCAGCUCGCCCUUGAAGAAAGCUCGGGGACUGGUCUUACUGCGCUCUCCGUAGACGUCUUCGUAACAGUCACGUUCUGCCCACGUACAGUUUUUGUCUAUAGUGUGGAAGCGCUGAAGCAGUAUUCCCAGAUUAAGCUUACGGUGUGGUUGUAGUGGUUCCGACUAGAUCGGCCAGUGGGGUUACCAUUAUCUUUGCUUGCGGUUUUUCAUCUUACAGAACAAGAAAAGAAAGUUAACACAUUACAGCUGAAGAUUUUUUUUCUACUUUUAUAACUCAUGCAUAUUGUAAGCAAAAAAUUCAGGAACCUCUGAGCCAGGGAGGAAAGACCAUACUUGUACAAUAACAUCUUGUGUAGUUACACAAAAACUAAUUUUAUUAAAUAAACAGUACUAUAAUUUCACUUCGAGUAGCUAAAUGAUCAUCGUGUAUUCGAAAUAUAGGCCCAGUUGUUGAAUGAAAAACGUAGUACCUUCGUUUAUAGCAGCACAUCGAGUACGUAAGAGCCUACAAUGAAAUUGUGUGCCUCAAAGUGCUUAUCCCAUAGACGAAUAAAUUGUAGUUAACAGUGCUUUUGUGCGUUUUCUUUGUCUACGCUUUAAAGGGCUCCAAGUAAACUGCUUAAAUCUGAAACUGCCUUAUUAUGAGGACAAUGACAUUAAAAGUUUAAAAAGUGAAUGUUAAAACAAUGCUAACAAAACUUUUUUUUCAGCAGCAAACCUGAAAUUGAGAGUUAAAUUUUUAGAAGUCACAUCCUCCAGAAAUAUUUCUAGCUUUGGCCACAUCGUUGUGAGAAGUUAUAUUCACACACACAUAUAUAUAUAUAUAUAGAGAGAGAGAGAGAACAUAUUCAAUAUCAAAGCGUUACGAUGGUAAAUAUAUGGGCCGUUCAUUAUUGGAUAUAAUGUUGAGAAAGAUGGAAUGAAAGGAAAGCCAUUAUUGAUUUAAUUUCUCCAUCGUGUAAAACAACCACUUAGCAGGACAACUUUAAGGCUACGAUAAAACAAACGUAGAAAAUCAACCACAGUCUUUUUCUGUUGGAAACUGCAGUAAUAUUUGUUAUAAACGAACUUUAUGAAACGAGGUCUAAACCGAAGCAAAAAUCAAUCUCAAGCCUCAGUAAGUUUAACAACGAUAAAAACUAACUAGCAUUCACAAUUAUUUUGUUGUACCAACUGAAAGAACAAUUAUGCAAAAAAAUAUUAUGUUUAGUAACCAAUGACGUCAAAAUGCAUCAUGUACAUUGUGUUAUUGUGCUUUUUCAUAUACAAUUUAAAUAUUUUUCACCGAUUUUGCUGUUCUACGAAGGAUGGAUAUAAUACUAACCAGUAUAUGCAAGUUAAGUUUGGAAUGUGCGAACGUGAAACUUUGAACGAAAUUAACAUCUACGAUGCCAUCAAUGUGACUUUUCCAGUUAUGUAGAGACCAAUAUCUAUAGAAUACCUGUUUAAGCCUACUAAGGCAAUGGAAUCUUGAUUCUUAAAUAUACCCUUUUAAUUUUUCUUGUUUGAAUUACCCACUUUCACGUUACAUAUUUACAAGUUUUUCAAUUUAUAUAACUUGUCUAAUUUUUCAUACCACAUCUUUGUAUGGCUGACCCCUUUAUUCUAACUUGGCUGAUUUUUGUACAUGUAAAAUGUUUUGAUCAGAUUAAAAUGUACGUGUUACAAUUUUCAAACCGUA
RNAcentral lists this long non-coding RNA (1704 nucleotides) under Limulus polyphemus (Atlantic horseshoe crab). Its description in RNAcentral is "uncharacterized LOC111087858". The record is from RNAcentral. Lineage: Eukaryota; Metazoa; Arthropoda; Merostomata; Xiphosura; Limulidae.